GUUGCCUCGGCGGGUGGUCUUGNNNNNNNNNCAUCAUAACUCAUGUUUUAACGGUGUUGUCUGAGCUACAAGCGACGAAUCAAACUUUCAACAACGGAUCUCUUGGUUCUGGCAUCGAUGAAGAACGCAGCGAAAUGCGAUAAGUAGUGUGAAUUGCAGAAUUCAGUGAAUCAUCGAAUCUUUGAACGCACAUUGCGCCCCUUGGUAUCCCGAGGGGCAUGCCUGGUUCGAGCGUCAUUUCACCACUCAAGCCUGGCUUGGUGUUGGGCGACGUCCCCUUUGGGGACGUGCCUCGAAACGCUCGGCGGCGUGGCACCGGCAUUAAGCGUAUCAUAUUCUUUCGCUUUGAAAGUCGGGGCCCCCUCUGCCGGAAGACCUACU
RNAcentral lists this ribosomal RNA (381 nucleotides) under uncultured Cenococcum. RNAcentral's name for it is "eukaryotic LSU rRNA". The stretch from base 83 to 237 matches the Rfam family "5.8S ribosomal RNA". Lineage: Eukaryota; Fungi; Ascomycota; Dothideomycetes; Gloniales; Gloniaceae. The record is from RNAcentral.